Long non-coding RNA from Limulus polyphemus (Atlantic horseshoe crab), 666 nucleotides. RefSeq lists it as uncharacterized. Lineage: Eukaryota; Metazoa; Arthropoda; Merostomata; Xiphosura; Limulidae. The transcript is spliced from 3 exons. The record is from RefSeq and is a predicted model, not a curated record.
GAAACCUCCAUCAGCAUCUUACCAGGAUGAUUCGUCUUCUCUCAGGCUGGCUGCCGCUCCGGAACGAGUGCCUUGUCCAGGUACGAUUUUAACAAUCAAGUCCUCAUAAUCGACAGGUGGCACUGAGAUGGAACGGAGCCUUUCCAAAAAUGACUUGAAGGCCAGUCUGAAAGAAUGUUGGCUAUCGUGGAGGCCUACAAGUGGUCAAUUCUAGAUGGUCAUUUGAUCGGGACAGACGUCCAGAUGCCUUUUUUGAAGAACUAAAGAUAGUGGAGCACAGUCGUCUGACUUAACACUAAAAUCAAUAUGGACUCAGGGUACCGUAUAUCUCAACCAUGACUUAAUUCCUGUCAAUAUAUACAUAUAGCAAUAUUUACAGACUUAAGGGUAUAUCUCAAAUAUGCCUUAAUUCCUGUCAAUGUAUAUAUAGCAAUAUUUACAGACUUAAGGGUAUAUUUCAACCAUGACUUAAUUCCUGUCAAUAUAUAUAUAGCAAUAUUUACAGACUUAAGGGUAUAUCUCAAACCAUGCCUUAAUUCCUGUCAAUGUAUAUAUAGCAAUAUUUACAGACUUAAGGGUAUAUCUCAACCAUGCCUUAAUUCCUGUCAAUGUAUAUAUAGCAAUAUUUAGUAGUACUAAACAACUUACAGUACAAAUAAAGUAGUA